UGGAUGAUGUGGAUUAAUUCGAUGCAACGCGAAAAACCUUACUACCCUUGACAUGUCCGGAAUCCUGCAGAGAUGCGGGAGUGCCCGAAAGGGAAUCGGAACACAGGUGCUGCAUGGCUGUCGUCAGCUCGUGUCGUGAGAUGUUGGGUUAAGUCCCGCAACGAGCGCAACCCUUAUCAUUAGUUGCUACGCAAGGGCACUCUAAUGAGACUGCCGGUGACAAACCGGAGGAAGGUGGGGAUGACGUCAAGUCCUCAUGGCCCUUAUGGGUAGGGCUUCACACGUCAUACAAUGGUCGGUACAGAGGGUUGCCAAGCCGCGAGGGGGAGUCAAUCCCAUAAAGCCAGUCGUAGUCCGGAUCGUAGUCUGCAACUCGACUACGUGAAGUCGGAAUCGCUAGUAAUCGUGGAUCAGAAUGUCACGGUGAAUACGUUCCCGGGUCUU
This 444-nucleotide ribosomal RNA is filed under the name uncultured Thiobacillus sp. Its description in RNAcentral is "bacterial SSU rRNA". It matches the Rfam family "Bacterial small subunit ribosomal RNA", at positions 933 to 1382 of the family's 1533-position model. The record is from RNAcentral. Lineage: Bacteria; Pseudomonadati; Pseudomonadota; Betaproteobacteria; Nitrosomonadales; Thiobacillaceae.